AGUGAACGCUGGCGGUAGGCCUAACACAUGCAAGUCGAACGGCAGCACAGAGGAGCUUGCUCCUUGGGUGGCGAGUGGCGGACGGGUGAGGAAUACAUCGGAAUCUACUCUGUCGUGGGGGAUAACGUAGGGAAACUUACGCUAAUACCGCAUACGACCUACGGGUGAAAGCAGGGGAUCUUCGGACCUUGCGCGAUUGAAUGAGCCGAUGUCGGAGUAGCUAGUUGGCGGGGUAAAGGCCCACCAAGGCGACGAUCCGUAGCUGGUCUGAGAGGAUGAUCAGCCACACUGGAACUGAGACACGGUCCAGACUCCUACGGGAGGCAGCAGUGGGGAAUAUUGGACAAUGGGCGCAAGCCUGAUCCAGCCAUACCGCGUGGGUGAAGAAGGCCUUCGGGUUGUAAAGCCCUUUUGUUGGGAAAGAAAUCCAUCUGGUUAAUACCCGGGUGGGAUGACGGUACCUAAAGAAUAAGCACCGGCUAACUUCGUGCCAGCCGCCGCAGUAA
Molecule: ribosomal RNA, 506 nt
Filed under: uncultured bacterium
Lineage: Bacteria
Description: partial 16S ribosomal RNA
Rfam family: Bacterial small subunit ribosomal RNA
Source: RNAcentral